AUGGUACACGACUACUACAGCCUACUCACCUUCAGAGGAGUAUGUUGGGAGCCAGCGGAGAUGAUUUGGGAUAAAACCAUUCCCAGGAGAUGGCAGAUCUUCCUAUGGCUUGCUUUCAAGGGUAGGCUGAAUGUUAGAACAUUCAUGCUUCGGAAGCAAUGGAAGAAUAUUGAACACCCAUAUUGUGAUUCCUCUCCGGCUGAAGAAACUGUGGAUCAUAUAAUUUUGAGAUGCGCUCCAGCUCACUUUCUGUGGAGUAAGCUUGAGGUCUUGCAGCACGCAACAGAAUCACACUCUUUGAUAGACUUUGUGCGGGCUCUUUGA
This 324-nucleotide ribosomal RNA is filed under the name Triticum aestivum (bread wheat). RNAcentral's name for it is "partial small subunit ribosomal RNA". The record is from RNAcentral. Lineage: Eukaryota; Viridiplantae; Streptophyta; Magnoliopsida; Poales; Poaceae.